GUCACUUUGGCGGAGUGGUUAACGCGCAGCCCUGCUAUCAUGGCAUCUCAAGGCUGUGACUUCGGUCGCGUAGGUUCGAAUCCUGCAGGUGACG
Molecule: non-coding RNA, 94 nt
Organism: Dactylonectria estremocensis
Lineage: Eukaryota; Fungi; Ascomycota; Sordariomycetes; Hypocreales; Nectriaceae
Source: the annotation of a GenBank genome assembly